AUACGGAGGGGGCAAGCGUUGUUCGGAAUUACUGGGCGUAAAGGGCGCGUAGGCGGAUUGUCAAGUCAGAGGUGAAAGCCCUGGGCUCAGCCUGGGAACUGCCUUUGAAACUGAUAGUCUAGAGUCCGAGAGAGGAUGGCGGAAUUCCCAGUGUAGAGGUGAAAUUCGUAGAUAUUGGGAAGAACACCAGUGGCGAAGGCGGCCAUCUGGCUCGGUACUGACGCUGAGGCGCGAAAGCGUGGGGAGCAAACAGGAUUAGAAACCCCGGUAGUCC
Molecule: ribosomal RNA, 274 nt
Filed under: uncultured bacterium
Lineage: Bacteria
Description: partial 16S ribosomal RNA
Rfam family: Bacterial small subunit ribosomal RNA
Source: RNAcentral